This 253-nucleotide ribosomal RNA is filed under the name uncultured bacterium. Its description in RNAcentral is "partial 16S ribosomal RNA". It matches the Rfam family "Bacterial small subunit ribosomal RNA", at positions 524 to 776 of the family's 1533-position model. The record is from RNAcentral.
UACGGGGGGGGCAAGCGUUGUUCGGAAUUACUGGGCGUAAAGGGCGCGUAGGCGGAUAGUUUAGUUGGGGGUGAAAGCCCGGGGCUCAACCUCGGAAUUGCCUUCAAUACUGGCUGUCUUGAGUGUGAGAGAGGUGUGUGGAACUCCGAGUGUAGAGGUGAAAUUCGUAGAUAUUCGGAAGAACACCAGUGGCGAAGGCGACACACUGGCUCACUACUGACGCUGAGGCGCGAAAGCGUGGGGAGCAAACAGG